This 303-nucleotide ribosomal RNA is filed under the name uncultured bacterium. Its description in RNAcentral is "partial 16S ribosomal RNA". It matches the Rfam family "Bacterial small subunit ribosomal RNA", at positions 507 to 807 of the family's 1533-position model. The record is from RNAcentral.
AGCAGUAGCCGCGGUAAUACAGAGGGUGCAAGCGUUAAUCGGAAUUACUGGGCGUAAAGGGUGCGUAGGCGGUCCGCUAAGACAGAUGUGAAAUCCCCGGGCUUAACCUGGGAACUGCAUUUGUGACUGGCGGGCUAGAGUAUGGCAGAGGGGGGUAGAAUUCCACGUGUAGCAGUGAAAUGCGUAGAGAUGUGGAGGAAUACCGAUGGCGAAGGCAGCCCCCUGGGCCAAUACUGACGCUCAUGCACGAAAGCGUGGGGAGCAAACAGGAUUAGAUACCCCGGUAGUCCCUGUCUCUUAUAC